Long non-coding RNA from Poecilia reticulata (guppy), 2418 nucleotides. RefSeq lists it as uncharacterized. The record is from RefSeq and is a predicted model, not a curated record. NCBI's taxonomy places the organism in Eukaryota, Metazoa, Chordata, Actinopteri, Cyprinodontiformes, Poeciliidae.
GUGCAUUUCCACCAGGUGUUUGCUAAUUGCUGCUGACUAGUCUGAAGGAGCUGAGUGAGGGCGUCACGAGGGACGACCUCUCUGUGAAGCGGAGUAUUGGAAACAGCAGCUCCGAGGAGGAGCUGAGUGUCCCUCACUUCUCGCCCACUGGAUCCCGACUGCAAGGACAAUCUGGUUUAGACAAUGGAUGACGGUGUGACUGGAAUUCUAUCAACACAUUUUGGGAAUUCUUUUUUCCCCAUCCCUAAAACUCACCCGAAACCAGAUGCAGGUAGACAUUUCAGCCAAUCCGCAACAUCCAGCCCAGUUCCAAACACUCUGGGCAAUCGGAAACGAAAAAGAAGCCACAGUCUUCAGGGCAGCUCAGGCUACCUUGGGAACAGAGUGACGUCCACAUCAACACGGCUCCAGUCAAGGACAGAAAGACACUCUUUCGGAGACAAAUAAAGCAUUUCUCUAUCAACUGAAUGAGAAAACAAGCGAAUACUAAAACUCCUGCCGUACACUAACAAGAAGCAUUGUGAUCAGUUCAGAUGACAAUCAGGAGCGAGACGAUCCACACAGACAACAGUGACGACUGCUGACAUGCUAAGUGAUUCUUUUCACCCGCAAGUAAAUGCAGACUCUCCUCACAGGCUGUUUCCACGGGUCCAACGCUCACAGAUGAAUACAGUUUUGUGCAGCAGCUCAGCACAAGGUCGCCGUGUUGUCAAGCUCAACCUGAGCGGGUUUUUUUCAAUUAUUUUUUUUUAUUAAAGCAUCGAGCCUGAGAUACUCUGCGCUUAACACGACGGAAAUCAUUUCUGUCAUUACGCGUUUGUUAUUUCCAGCAUCUCCGGAGAUAAAGAACGUGACCAUUUACCUGGACGUGAUUCAGUUGGGUUUGGCUGUGAGAAAGGAAAUGCUUACUUUGGUCUUUAACUAGACGGCAGAGAUGCCUUCGUGUAUCUGUAUUUGAUUAUUUAUGGAUACGGUGAUGAAAUGAUGAGACUUUUCCUGAAUUGGCAGAAACUGUUGCAUUAAUCUUUUUCUAAACUGUCUUCUAUAUUUGUGAAGAGAGGUGACAUACAGACAAUUUUCUUUUCAGGCUCACUGUUUGAGAAGAACCAACAUGUUUCCACAAUUAUCUAUGGCUGCUGCUGCUGAUAUUUUUCUUUCUGAGAUGGACAUCAUAAUCCAACAAUCAACGCACAGCAGUUCCCUGGUGCUGGACAAAACAUCCAUGUUGCUGUUCUUCAAAAGAAAGAAGUUUAGAAGAGAGCAACCGCCGAGUGAAAACAAGAGAGAGGAGAGGAGAGGGGGAGGAGAGAGGGAGUGAUAGAAGGAGGGAGAGGGAGGACGAGGACGAGAAAGACAAGAAGAGAGGCACAGAGAGACGGACAGAUGGAGGAGAAGCAUGCAGCAGCAGCGAGGAAGAGGAGGAGGAAGAGCAGGAGGAGGAGGAGGAGAAACAAAGCGUGUUGACGAGGAAGUGUGCGUGCCAUGCGGGGCCAUGUGCUCAGGUAGCUCCCGUCCAGAUCAGCCGCACGCACCGCCUCACCGCCCGCUCCCCGCAGCGCCGCCGUGUUCCUCUGUCACGCAGGGAAUCCGUCAAAAACCCAAAAGGGAGGCCACUUCUGCAACGACUUUUCCGAAAAUAUAACCGAACAUCCAUGUGACCCGCAGCAGUUUCCAAGAAAGAUGGCGUCCGCAGAAGUGUGCCGACUCCCGUCUGUUGCUUCUCGGCUCUCUGGUGACUGUCAGCUGCUCAGUAGGCAGUGUAGAUCCUGUGUAGCAAUCAGCAGCUACAUCUGGCUACUGGGUCUCUGACAGCUCCGCCCGCUUCCCGGUCCAAAGUUCUUCGUCCGUCGGCGCGUUCCCGCUCCCACCACCGGCUGUGAUUUUGGGGGGCUCGUUCAGUGAUGGGAUGUUCUCGGUGUCACAACUCAACCAGGGCCCAUUAUCACAUUUGUUCUUCUUCCUGUUUUGUCAAACUCAUUUGGCGUCUCUGAGUUUCUGACUUCUGAUUGAAUUCCCUUUACUUUGAUUAAGCUACAAACGGAUACAUUUCAUAAAAAUGGUGUUGACGGAUGCCCAAGAAGCCACACUAGGCAGAUAUUUGCUUUGUCCUGAACCUGGCAUACAAUGUAGAUUCCUGUGUGGUUCAAUUCUACAGCUACAUUGUCUGCUGGGUUUCUGGCUAGCAAUAUAAGCUUCUGUGACAUGAAGGUCACCUUUACUCCAUAAGGUAAGAAUUUAUCUACUGUGCUGCCAAAAAGUAUUUGCCCCUGUUAAGAUUUAUUCUGCUUUUGUUGUUUUGUGAUAUUUAAAUGUUUCAGAUUGUCCAACAAAUGUUACAGUGGCAGUGUUAUGUGUUUUCCAGGCGCAUAAUGACAUAUUAUAGCACAAUCAAGUAACUAUGUUACCUUUAGUUGUUAU